GGUCUAGCCUACCGGAGGAGAAGCAGUUUUGUGGAGAAGAUUCCAGGCGUCCCUGCCUACACCACCGACUCCAGACAUAUGAGGAGGAGUAGUUUGCCACUGACACUGUUCAGAACUGCUGGCACUUGGUGAUGAUAAUCCAAGGUAAACAUAUUCUCUCCAACCCCAUUAGCAGUGCAAUGUGAAAAGACAUUUUAGAUGUGGAGUCUGGCGAUCACAAGGAUUAACAUCAACUUAU
Molecule: long non-coding RNA, 238 nt
Filed under: Callithrix jacchus (white-tufted-ear marmoset)
Lineage: Eukaryota; Metazoa; Chordata; Mammalia; Primates; Cebidae
Description: lncRNA (ENSCJAG00000083375.1)
Source: RNAcentral